RNAcentral lists this ribosomal RNA (125 nucleotides) under uncultured archaeon. RNAcentral's name for it is "partial 16S ribosomal RNA". The record is from RNAcentral.
AUCUACGGGGCGCAGCAGGCGCGAAAACUUUGCAAUUUGCGAAAGCACGACAAGGUUAAUCCGAGUGGUUUCUGCUAAAGGAACCUUGUGACAUGUCUAGAAACCCAUGAGAAUCACCCCAUUCC